UCGGAUCGUCAAAGUCGACUUCCACCAAAGCGAAAUCCACCAUCUCAUCGAAAGACGGGACACCUUUGCCUCUAUCAAUUCCAGCUAGCUCCGUUCGUCUUUUGUUGUUGCAGGAGGCGCAUGGAGGAGGAUUAAUGGGACACUUUGGCGUGAAGAAGACGGAGGACGUACUUGCUACACAUUUCUUUUGGCCAAAGAUGAGACGGGAUGUUGAGCGUUUUAUUGCUCGAUGCACUACAUGUCAAAAAGCUAAGUCACGACUCAAUCCUCAUGGUUUAUAUAUGCCUUUGCCUGUACCUAGUGUUCCUUGGGAGGAUAUAUCUAUGGACUUUGUUUUAGGUUUACCUCGAACAAAGAAGGGGAGGGAUGGCAUAUUUGUUGUCGUGGAUAGAUUCUCGAAAAUGGCACACUUUAUACCAUGUCAUAAAAGCGAUGAUGCUGUUAAUGUUGCUGAUUUGUUCUUUCGUGAAAUUAUUCGCUUGCAUGGUGUGCCAAAUACUAUUGUUUCAGAUCGUGAUACUAAAUUUCUUAGCCACUUUUGGAGAUGUUUAUGGGCUAAGUUGGGGACUAAAUUGCUUUUUAGUACUACUUGUCACCCCCAAACUGAUGGACAAACUGAAGUAGUCAAUAGAACGUUGUCUACUAUGCUUAGGGCUGUUUUGAAGAAUAAUAAGAAAAUGUGGGAGGAAUGCUUGCCUCAUAUUGAAUUUGCUUAUAAUCGUUCAUUGCAUUCUACUACUAAGAUGUGCCCUUUUGAAGUUGUGUAUGGUUUCCUACCUCGUGCACCUAUUGAUUUGUUGCCUCUUCCAUCUUCGGAGAAGGUUAAUUUUGAUGCUAAACAACGUGCUGAAUUGAUUUUAAAAAUGCAUGAGUUAACUAAGGAAAACAUUGAGCGCAUGAAUGCUAAAUAUAAACUUGCUGGAGAUAAGGGUAGAAAACAUGUUGUGUUUGCACCUGGAGAUCCUUUUUGGUUACAUUUGCGUAAGGAUAGAUUUCCUGAUUUGUGCAAAUCGAAGUUAAUGCCACGUGCUGAUGGUCCCUUUAAGGUGUUAGAAAAAAUAAAUGAUAAUGCAUAUAAACUGGAGCUGCCUGCAGAUUUUGGGGUUAGUCCCACUUUUAACAUUUUAGAUUUGAAGCCUUAUUUGGGUGAGGAAGAUGAACUUCCGCCGAGGACGACUUCAUUUCAAGAAGGGGAGGAUGAUGAGGACAUCAAUACAACUGUUACACCCACAGCCCCUGCUGCUAUACAUACUGGACCAAUUACUAGAGCUCGUGCACACCAACUAAAUUACCAGGAACUUUCGUUUCUUCGUAAUGAUUCUAAUGUUCAUGAGAAUAUGAUGCUGCCUAAAUUGGAUACAUUUGUUUUGCUUACAAAUGAAGGGCCUAGCUUGGAGAAGGAUGAACAUUGGAGCAAGAACAAGCAUGGAGAUGAUGGCAUGCACAAGGGGAACAAGAACGGAGUUACAAGUGAUGAUUUCAGGACUUUGAAGCCACCAUAAUGGGUGCAUGAAGCCUUGGACGAAAUAUACAAGAUGCCACUUCAUAAAUUUCGUCCCGAGGCUAUUUUAGGUGCUGCGUCACCUUAUUAUUGGGCCAGGCCCAUGUAAUUUUGAAAUACAUAAGUAUAGGCUAUUUUUAGAGUCCUUAUGUGUGGGGAAACAAGAGAUAGGGUUGAUUUCGGACCCCUCCACCAAGGGCCACGAAAUUCCCCCCCUCUUCCUCCAUAUAUACAGCCCUUAGGGCAUCGUUUAGACUUUGGGUUUUGUUUAGAAUAAAAGUUCGCCAUAGCUGCAACUUCGCGUACUUCGUUUGUGUUCAACGACCAGACAAAGGCGUCACAGAACCCCACCUUGAUCAAUAAAGCUUUCAUCUUAUAUUCGCAAUAUCCAGAUUGCAAUCUUAGUUUCUUGCUUGUUCUUCGUUUGCUCGCAGGAAACAGACCCUCAUGGUCAGGUUGAUCGUGCUCCGGCGUGGUCAAUAACCUCUCGGAGUUGGUUUAGCGAUUGCUAAGGCGCGACGUCCUCGCACGUUCGUAGUCGGAUCGUCAAAGUCGACUGCCACCAAAGCGAUAUCCAUCAUCUCAUCGAAAGACGGGACACCUUUGCCUCUAUCAGUAUGCUCAACUCGUAUAGUGCCGGAGUCACUUAGCCAUUGGACCUUGUAGGGGUGCGGGUGCUUCCUCUUGACCAAUUGAAGCUUGGAGCAUAAUUCUUCACUUGCCAAGUUGUGGCAACUACCUCCAUCGAUGAUGACCUUGACGGACUUUCCAUUGAUGCCGGCCUUUGUGUGGAAGAUGUGGCAUCUUUGGUCUUCUUCUUGUUGAUGUUGAAGUGUCAAGACUUUGGAGACAACGAGAGCGGGGCUCGAAUCCUCAUCACAAAAGACUUGAUCAUCUUCAUCUUUGUUCACGCGCUGGUGCAUGGCCACUUGCUCAAGGGCUUCCAUCUCCUCUUCACUCAUUGAGUCAUAUGUGCCGUCGUCGUUGAGGAUCAUGGUGCACUUAUUCGUGCAUUCAUAUGACUUGUGGCCUCGGCCGCCGCAAGUGAAACACUUGAAGGAGCUUGUUUUGACGGUCUCAUCGGUCGGAGUAGAUGAUGAAGCACGCGGCUUGAAGUUGCUUGUAGUAGGAGGAAGACGACUUGAACUUGUCGGAUUUUUCUUGUAACUUGACUUGUCGUCGUUGCUUGGAGAAGGUUUGGUUGACGUAGAUGUUGGAGGAGUCGUUGAAGCUUGGAUGUUGGAGAAGCCGUAGGUCUUGGAUGAGUACUUGGCGUACUUGAAGUCAUCUUGCACUUGACGUUCUGCCUUGGUUGCUUGAUGCACGAGCUCAAUGAGGUUGGAAUAUGGUUUUAAGUCGGCGAUCUUCUUGAUGGGAUGAUUGAGUCCAUUCAAGAAACGUGCCAUUGUUUGCUCAUCAUCUUCCUUGACAUUGGCUCGAAUCAUGGCUAUCUCCAUUGAUGAGGACAUCAAUACCAUUGUUACACCCACAGCCCCUACUGCUACAUAUACGGAACCAAUUACUAGAGCUCGCGCACGCCAAUUAAAUUAUCAGGUACUUUCGUUUCUUGGUAAUGAUUCUAAUGUUCAUGAGAAUAUGAUGCUGCCUAAAUUGGAUACAUUUGUUUUGCUUACAAAUGAAGGGCCUAGCUUGGAGAAGGAUGAACAUUGGAGCAAGAACAAGCAUGGAGAUGAUGCCAUGCGCAAGGGGAACAAGAACGGAGUUACAAGUGAUGAUUUCAGGACUUUGAAGCCACCAUAAUGGGUGCAUGAAGCCUUGGGCGAAAUAUACAAGAUGCCACUUCAUAAAUUUCGUCCUGAGGCUAUUAUAGGUGCCGCGUCACCUUUUUAUUGGGCCAGGCCCAUGUAAUUUCGAAAUACAUAAGUAUAGGCUAUUUUUAGAGUCCGUAUGUGUGGGGAAACAAGAGAUAGGGUUGAUUUCGGACCCCUCCACCAAGGGCCACGAAAUUCCCCCUCUCUUCCUCCAUAUAUACAGCCCUUAGGGCACCGUUUAGACUUUGGGUUUUGUUUAGAUUAAAAGUUCGCCAUAGCUGCAACUUCGCGUACUUCGUUUGUGUUCAACGACCAGACAAAGGCGUCACAGAACCCCACCUUGAUCAAUAAAGCUUUCAUCUUAUAUUCGCAAUAUCCAGAUUGCAAUCUUAGUUUCUUGCUUGUUCUUCGUUUGCUCGCAGGAAACAGACCCUCGUGGUCAGGUUGAUCGUGCUCCGGCGUGGUCAAUAACCUCUCGGAGUUGGUUUAGCGAUUGCUAAGGCGCGACGUCCUCGCACGUUCGUAGUCGGAUCGUCAAAGUCGACUUCCACCAAAGCGAUAUCCAUCAUCUCAUCGAAAGACGGGACACCUCCGCAUCAAUACAAUUGUUACACCCACAGCCCCUGCUGCUAUACAUACUGGACCAAUUACUAGAGCUCGUGCACGCCAACUAAAUUACCAGGUACUCUCGUUUCUUGGUAAUGAUUCUAAUGUUCAUGAGAAUAUGAUGCUGCCUAAAUUGGAUACAUUUGUUUUGCUUACAAAUGAAGGGCCUAGCUUGGAGAAGGAUGAACAUUGGAGCAAGAACAAGCAUGGAGAUGAUGGCAUGCGCAAGGAGAACAAGAACGGAGUUACAAGUGAUGAUUUCAGGACUUUGAAGCCACCAUAAUGGGUGCAUGAAGCCUUGGACGAAAUAUACAAGAUGCCACUUCAUAAAUUUCGUCCCGAGGCUAUUUUAGGUGCUGCGUCACCUUAUUAUUGGGCCAGGCCCAUGUAAUUUCGAAAUACAUAAGUAUAGGCUAUUUUUAGAGUUCGUAUGUGUGGGGAAACAAGAGAUAGGGUUGAUUUCGGACCCCUCCACCAAGGGCCACGAAAUUCCCCCCUCUUCCUCCAUAUAUACAGCCCUUAGGGCAUCGUUUAGACUUUGGGUUUUGUUUAGAUUAAAAGUUCGCCAUAGCUGCAACUUUGCGUACUUCGUUUGUGUUCAACGACCAGACAAAGGCGUCACAGAACCCCACCUUGAUCAAUAAAGCUUUCAUCUUAUAUUCGCAAUAUCCAGAUUGCAAUCUUAGUUUCUUGCUUGUUCUUCGUUUGCUCGCAGGAAACAGACCCUCGUGGUCAGGUUGAUCGUGCUCCGGCGUGGUCAAUAACCUCUCGGAGUUGGUUUAGCGAUUGCUAAGGCGUGACGUCCUCGCACGUUCGUAGUCGGAUCGUCAAAGUCGACUUCCACCAAAGCGAUAUCCAUCAUCUCAUCGAAAGACGGGACACCUUUGCCUCUAUCAAGUGGUAUCAGAUUUCCAGGUUGCUCGGUGAGAUUUUACAGUUUUUCGUAGUUUAGAUCGAGUCUGUUCUUCAUACCUAUAGUCCACGAAAAAGCCAAAAAAAAAUUAGGGUUAGUUCAUCCCAUCCGAACCAAUCUGAGCCUUUGCAUAAUCUUUUCUGUAUUUGCUUUGUUGAAUUUGCGGUUGCAUCGUCGUGUCAAGUUGCUGGUCUUAGCGUCUAGUCUUUUAGAGUUUCGAGUUCUGUUCACAGGUUGUCACGUCGCCGCUGCCAUAUACCACCACCACAUAUUCACCGCCAAUCCGAAUCCAUAUACGCCACCACAUAUCCGCCGCCAUCACGCCCAUCCGAGUCCACCUGCAACAUAUAUCCGCCACCAAUCCGAGUUCCACCAGAUUCAUCUCCGCCACCAGUCCGAGUUCCACCAGUUUCAUCUCCGCCACCAGUCCUAGUCCGAGUCCAGUAAUCAUUGCAUUGUUCUCGAUUUCCAGAUCACGCGAUACUCCGAGUCGUGACAGCGAAGGACUCCCCA
Molecule: long non-coding RNA, 5305 nt
Filed under: Triticum aestivum (bread wheat)
Lineage: Eukaryota; Viridiplantae; Streptophyta; Magnoliopsida; Poales; Poaceae
Description: long non-coding RNA (TAES_LNC011894)
Source: RNAcentral